AUGUGUUUCUCGGCUCCCCGCUGCGCCCAGCCUGGGCCCCGGGGCACCCUUUUAGGAGGCCGUCGCCGGGCAAGGCGACCCCCACCAGCGCCCGGGGCCCCCGGGAGCCCCUUAAAUGGCGGCCGCCGGGCUCCCGGAGGGGGCAGGCCGACGACGACCAUGCCGAGGGAAGCCGUGCUUCUGCUGGCCUGGCUGGCCUUGCUGCUGGCCCUCCCGGCCCCACUGCUGGCCUUCCCCAGCGCAACGCCAGGUGAAGUGACCAUCACUGAAAGCAGAGGCCGAAGGAGUGAAUACAUUGAAUAUGACUCUAUCGCAGAGGAAGACUACUUGACUGGUAUGUCCAGUUAGUUCUGCUUCUUUAACCCUUCUAUAUGCAAAUAUCUUCUGCCAACAGUCACACAUAACACUCUCACACACCUUUCAGAUUUCUACUAUGGCAUAGAAGCCUACUGUGUAGAGAGAAGAAGGAAAAUUUUAUAGUCAUUGCUUGCUUAUUGGCUUCUUAGCCUAUUCCUUUGUGAAGUAUAAUGAGAGGCAGACGGACUGAGGGUUUUUAUUGUUUCUUGCUUUUUUUUUUUUUGUAAAAGGCAAGAAAGUAUUUCUUUUUCUUAAAAGAAAUAUUUCUUAAAAAUAUUGAAAAUGUGAAGUCUGGUCUGCUAGUUUAGUAGGAAAAUUUCUUGGAGCCAUCAGAGAUUAAUCAGUUAUUUUUAGUAUGCUAUAUUAUGCUGGAAAUGGAUAAAAACUUCAAUAUUUCUUCCAUUUCCUUUCUCCAGCUGUAAGUAUACCAUAGAAAUUAAAUAAAUGUAAACAGAAGCCCA
RNAcentral lists this long non-coding RNA (818 nucleotides) under Anser cygnoides (Swan goose). Its description in RNAcentral is "lncRNA (ENSACDG00005011372.1)". Lineage: Eukaryota; Metazoa; Chordata; Aves; Anseriformes; Anatidae. The record is from RNAcentral.